Molecule: ribosomal RNA, 1225 nt
Filed under: Limosilactobacillus fermentum
Lineage: Bacteria; Bacillati; Bacillota; Bacilli; Lactobacillales; Lactobacillaceae
Description: bacterial SSU rRNA
Rfam family: Bacterial small subunit ribosomal RNA
Source: RNAcentral
CGGGACGGCGGGGUGCUAUACAUGCAGUCGAACGCGUUGGCCCAAUUGAUUGAUGGUGCUUGCACCUGAUUGAUUUUGGUCGCCAACGAGUGGCGGACGGGUGAGUAACACGUAGGUAACCUGCCCAGAAGCGGGGGACAACAUUUGGAAACAGAUGCUAAUACCGCAUAACAACGUUGUUCGCAUGAACAACGCUUAAAAGAUGGCUUCUCGCUAUCACUUCUGGAUGGACCUGCGGUGCAUUAGCUUGUUGGUGGGGUAACGGCCUACCAAGGCGAUGAUGCAUAGCCGAGUUGAGAGACUGAUCGGCCACAAUGGGACUGAGACACGGCCCAUACUCCUACGGGAGGCAGCAGUAGGGAAUCUUCCACAAUGGGCGCAAGCCUGAUGGAGCAACACCGCGUGAGUGAAGAAGGGUUUCGGCUCGUAAAGCUCUGUUGUUAAAGAAGAACACGUAUGAGAGUAACUGUUCAUACGUUGACGGUAUUUAACCAGAAAGUCACGGCUAACUACGUGCCAGCAGCCGCGGUAAUACGUAGGUGGCAAGCGUUAUCCGGAUUUAUUGGGCGUAAAGAGAGUGCAGGCGGUUUUCUAAGUCUGAUGUGAAAGCCUUCGGCUUAACCGGAGAAGUGCAUCGGAAACUGGAUAACUUGAGUGCAGAAGAGGGUAGUGGAACUCCAUGUGUAGCGGUGGAAUGCGUAGAUAUAUGGAAGAACACCAGUGGCGAAGGCGGCUACCUGGUCUGCAACUGACGCUGAGACUCGAAAGCAUGGGUAGCGAACAGGAUUAGAUACCCUGGUAGUCCAUGCCGUAAACGAUGAGUGCUAGGUGUUGGAGGGUUUCCGCCCUUCAGUGCCGGAGCUAACGCAUUAAGCACUCCGCCUGGGGAGUACGACCGCAAGGUUGAAACUCAAAGGAAUUGACGGGGGCCCGCACAAGCGGUGGAGCAUGUGGUUUAAUUCGAAGCUACGCGAAGAACCUUACCAGGUCUUGACAUCUUGCGCCACCCUAGAGAUAGGGCGUUUCCUUCGGGAACGCAAUGACAGGUGUGCAUGGUCGUCGUCAGCUCGUGUCGUGAGAUGUUGGGUAAGUCCCGCACGAGCGCACCCUGUACUAGUGCCAGCAUAGUGGGCACUCUAGUGAGACUGCGGUGACAAACCGGGAGAAGGUGGGGACGAACGUCGAUACAUCAUGCCUAAUAACUUGGCUAACACACGUGCCUCCA